Non-coding RNA from Microcebus murinus (gray mouse lemur), 492 nucleotides. Lineage: Eukaryota; Metazoa; Chordata; Mammalia; Primates; Cheirogaleidae. The record is from RefSeq and is a predicted model, not a curated record.
CCAGCCCUGGGAACACGGUCGGCCCUGAGUCCAGCCUGGGAGAAGCCAGGCUGGGCCCGGACUGCUCAGGCGCUGCAAUCGGCCCCUGGCGCAGGUGCCGUCGUCGCAGGAGCGGCUCAGGGGCCGCCGCCGUCCCUGUCACCCUCCUGGGCGCACACGGUCGCGACGCAGCGCGGAGACGGCACAGACGUCCAUGGAGCCGCAAGGCGGGCGCCGGGGGUCAUUCUGCUGAUCUUUUGCCGAGUGUGCUGAGCAAAUGGCAUCGUCAGGACUUGGCACAAGUGGACGCGUCCUUCUCACCACAUCUCAUUUCUACUCUCCAUCCUAUGGUCGGCCCCCCUCCCAGUCCCUUGCACUCAGGGCCCAGGAGGAGCAGCCUUCCAGUCUCUGCAGGCUCAAGCCUGCAGGUCAGAAGUCUGGAUCUAACUGCGAUAAAAUGAAGCGAUCAGCAGGCCGUGUUCCCUCAGCAGGCAGAGGCCCUGGAGCAUAAGA